AUAGCCAGGUCCGUCUGCUGCCAUAGUCUCACAACAGUCAGAGCCCAGUUCUCAACCUGAUGGCUUCCAUGAAGAGACAGCAGCUGCUCACUGGAUGUGCGGACUCACGCAGCUUUCAUAACCCUUGCCUCAAUUCCUCCUUUGUAGAGAUCAUGAUGGCAACCUCAUGUCCCUGUCUCACUGCGAAAGAGGUCAGUACACGAAGAGAACGGAGCGCAAAGCUUGGCACGGUGUGCUCGCUCUGUAUGUUUUCCCUGCAUCCGUAUAACAUCUCUCCCGGAUGCUGUUCCUCAAUGCCAGGAAGACCUUUAACCAAGAAAUGCUCAACACUCUUGCCGUGUGGGUAAGAUGGCUUGGCAGACAGAACUCAGAACAAGGAGUCAGGAGUUCUCAUUCUGUUUCCUGUUGGCUGAUAAUGGGCUCUUGGGACCUCUUCUUCACCUGUUAAAAAUAGAAGCAACUGCGACACCCUCCUCUGCACUCUCACAUCUCUUACUCGCCUUCCCAGUAUCUUGCAGCAUCCCUAUGGGCUGUUGUUACUAAGCACCAGCAAGAUUUGCACCCAAGAAAUACUAAGGCUCUUCUUAUAUAUGCAGCAAUAGCUUCAAGGACAAAACCCAGGUUGAAGUCGGUUGGAAUAGCCAGGCAGUGCAGAGCAAAACUCAGCAAUUUGGAAGCCGAGGCCAGUUUCCUGAGGUCCUGUGGCUACUCAGAGGAUGAUCUUUUGGUCGAAUCAGCAUCCUUUCUGUGGUAUAGAAGGGGUUUGGUUUGGAUUCUC
RNAcentral lists this long non-coding RNA (778 nucleotides) under Mus musculus (house mouse). RNAcentral's name for it is "long non-coding RNA chr7:48898873-48899651". The record is from RNAcentral. Lineage: Eukaryota; Metazoa; Chordata; Mammalia; Rodentia; Muridae.